RNAcentral lists this long non-coding RNA (3945 nucleotides) under Triticum aestivum (bread wheat). Lineage: Eukaryota; Viridiplantae; Streptophyta; Magnoliopsida; Poales; Poaceae. The record is from RNAcentral.
UUGCAUUCCCUUUUUAAUUUUUUUGCACCGCGUGCAAAACAAAACGCACGAGCGCGACGUAUGUUUAGCACGUUUUAUUAUUUUGCACGUUUACGGUAAGUUUUAGCUCGCUGCUCAUUAUUCACGCGUCUAGCGGCGGCAAGCGUGUUCUGAAAGGGGUCGAAACCAUGGUAAGUAGGCACUGGUGCAGUUGAACCGUGGUAAAACUCGUCUCCGUAGUUGAGCGGGAGCGGCCAAAGGAAUGUGCAAUCGUGUGUGUAGUGGAGCUGGGAGGGGCAAGCAUAAGGGACGAAGACGGGGGUAACAUGUCGGAUGCGAUCAUACCAGCACUAAAGCACCAGAUCCCAUCAGAACUCCGAAGUUAAGCGUGCUUGGGCGAGAGUAGUACUAGGAUGGGUGACCUUCUGGGAAGUCCUCAUGUUGCAUUCCCUUUUUAUUUUUUUUGCGCCGCGUGCAAAAGAAAACGCACGUGCGCGACAUAUGUUUAGCACGUUUUACUAUUUUGCACGUUUACGGUAAGUUUUAGCUCGCUGCUCAUUAUUCACGCGUCUAGCGGCGGCAAACGUGUUCUGAAAGGGGUCGAAACCAUGGUAAAUAGGCACUGGAGCGGUUGAACCGUUGUAAAACUCGUCUCCGUGGUUGAGCGGGAGCGGCCAAAGGAAUGUGCAAUCGUGUGUGUAGUGGAGCUGGGAGGGGCAAGCAUAAGGGACGAAGACGGGGGUAACAUGUCAGGUGCGAUCAUACCAGCACUAAAGCACCGGAUCCCAUCAGAACUCCGAAGUUAAGCUUGCUUGGGCGAGAGUAGUACUAGGAUGGGUGACCUCUUGGGAAGUCCUCGUGUUGCAUUCCCUUUUUAAUUUUUUUUGCGCCGCGUGCAAAAGAAAACGCACGUGCGCGACAUAUGUUUAGCACGUUUUAUUAUUUUGCACGUUUACGGUAAGUUUUAGCUCGCUGCUCAUUAUUCACGCGUCUAGCGGCGGCAAGCGUGUUCUGCAAGGGGUUGAAACCAUGGUAAAUAGGCACUCGUGCGGUUGAACCGUGGUAAAACUCGUCUCCGUAGUUGAGCGGGAGCGGCCAAAGGAAUGUGCAAUCGUGUGUGUAGUGGAGCUGGGAGGGGCAAGCAUAAGGGACGAAGACGGGGGUAACAUGUCAGAUGCGAUCAUACCAGCACUAAAGCACCGGAUCCCAUCAGAACUCCGAAGUUAAGCUUGCUUGGGUGAGAGUAGUACUAGGAUGGGUGACCUCUUGGGAAGUCCUCGUGUUGCAUUCCCUUUUUAAUUUUUUUUGCGCCGCGUGCAAAACAAAACGCACGUGCGCGACAUAUGUUUAGCACGUUUUAUUACUUUGCACGUUUACGGUAAGUUUUAGCUCGCUGCUCAUUAUUCACGCGUCUAGCAGCGGCAAACGUGUUCUGAAAGGGGUCGAAACCAUGGUAAAUAGGCACUGGAGCGGUUGAACCGUGGUAAAACUCGUCUCCGUAGUUGAGCGGGAGCGGCCAAAGGAAUGUGCAAUCGUGUGUGUAGUGGAGCUGGGAGGGGCAAGCAUAAGGGACGAAGACGGGGGUAACAUGUCACAUGCGAUCAUACCAGCACUAAAGCACCGGAUCCCAUCAGAACUCCGAAGUUAAGCUUGCUUGGGCGAGAGUAGUAAUAGGAUGGGUGACCUCUUGGGAAGUCCUCGUGUUGCAUUCCCUUUUUAAUUUUUUUUGCGCCGCGUGCAAAAGAAAACGCACGUGCGCGACAUAUGUUUAGCACGUUUUAUUAUUUUGCACGUUUACGGUAACUUUUAGCUCGCUGCUCAUUAUUCACGCGUCUAGCGGCGGCAAGCGUGUUCUGCAAGGGGUCGAAACCAUGGUAAAUAGGCACUGGUGCGGUUGAACCGUGGUAAAACUCGUCUCCGUAGUUGAGCGGGAGCGGCCAAAGGAAUGUGCAAUCGUGUGUGUAGUGGAGCUGGGAGGGGCAAGCAUAAGGGACGAAGACGGGGGUAACAUGUCGGAUGCGAUCAUACCAGCACUUAAGCACCGGAUGCCAUCAGAACUCCGAAGUUAAGCGUGCUUGGGCGAGUGUAGUAUUAGGAUGGGUGACCUGCUGGGAAGUCCUCGUGUUGCAUUCCCUUUUUAAUUUUUUUUUGCGCCGCGUGCAAAAGAAAACGCACGUGCGCGACAUAUAUUUAGCACGUUUUAUUAUUUUGCACGUUUACGGUAAGUUUUAGCUCGCUGCUCAUUAUUCACGCGUCUAGCGGCAGCAAGCGUGUUCUGAAAGGGUCGAAACCAUGGUAAAUAGGCACUGGAGCGGUUGAACCGUGGUGAAACUCGUCUCCGUGGCGCAAAAGAAAACGCACGUGCGCGACAUAUAUUUAGCACGUUUUAUUAUUUUGCACGUUUACGGUAAGUUUUAGCUCGCUGCUCAUUAUUCACGCGUCUAGCGGCAGCAAGCGUGUUCUGAAAGGGGUCGAAACCAUGGUAAAUAGGCACUGGAGCGGUUGAACCGUGGUGAAACUCGUCUCCGUAGUUGAGCGGGAGCGGCCAAAGGAAUGUGCAAUCGUGUGUGUAGUGGAGUUGGGAGGGGCAAGCAUAAGGGACGAAAACGGGGGUAACAUGUCGGAUGCGAUCAUACCAGCACUAAAGAACCGGAUCCCAUCAGAACUCCGAAGCUAAGCGUGCUUGGGCGAGAGUGGUACUUGGAUGGGGAAGUCCUCGUGUUGCAUUCCCUUUUUAAUUUUUUUGCGCCGCGUGCAAAACAAAACGCACCGGCGCGACAUAUGUUUAGCACGUUUUAUUAUUUUGCACAUUUGCGGUAAGUUUUAGCUCGCUGCUCAUUAUUCACGUGUCUAGCGGCGGCAAGCGUGUUCUGAAAGGGGUCGAAACCAUGGCAAAUAGGCACUGGUGCCGUUGAACCAUGGUAAACUCGUCUCCGUAGUUGAGCGGGAGCAGCCAAAGGAAUGUGCAAUCAUGUGUGUAGUGGUGCUGGGAGGGGCAAGCAUAAGGGACGAAGACGGGGGUGACAUGUCGGAUGCGAUGAUACCAGCACUAAAGCACCGGAUCCCAUCAGAACUCCGAAGUUAAGCUUGCUUGGGAGAGUAGUACUAGGAUGGGUGACCUCCUGGGAAGUCCUCGUGUUGCAUUCCCUUUUUAAUUUUUUUGCGCCGCGUGCAAAACAAAACGCACGUGCGCGACAUAUGUUUAGCACGUUUUAUUAUUUUGCACGUUUACGGUAAGUUUUAGCUCGCUCCUCAUUAUUCACGCGUCUAGCGGCGGCAAGCGUGUUCUCAAAGGGGUCGAAACCAUGGUAAAUAGGCACUGGUGCGGUUGAACCGUCGUAAAACUUGUCUCCGUAGUUGAGCGGGAGCGGCCAAAGGAAUGUGCAAUCGUGUGUGUAGUGGAGCUGGGAGGGGCAAGCAUAAGGGACGAAGACGGGGGUAACAUGUCGGAUGCGAUCAUACCAGCACUAAAGCACCAGAUCCCAUCAGAACUUCGAAGUUAAGCGUGCUUGGGCGAGAGUAGUACUAGGAUGGGUGACCUUCUGGGAAGUCCUCAUGUUGCAUUCCCUUUUUAAUUUUUUUUGCGCCGCGUGCAAAAGAAAACGCACGUGCGCGACAUAUGUUUAGCACGUUUUACUAUUUUGCACGUUUACGGUAAGUUUUAGCUCGCUGCUCAUUAUUCACGCGUCUAGCAGCGGCAAGCGUGUUCUGAAAGGGGUCGAAACCAUGGUAAAUAGGCACUGGAGCGGUUGAACCGUGGUAAAACUCAUCUCCGUAGUUGAGCGGGAGCGGCCAAAGGAAUGUGCAAUCGUGUGUGUAGUGGAGCUGGGAGGGGCAAGCAUAAGGGACGAAGACGGGGAUAACAUGUCAGAUGCGAUCAUACCAGCACUAAAGCACCGGAUCCCAUCAGAACUCCGAAGUUAAGCUUGCUUGGGCGAGAGUAGUACUAGGAUGGGUGACCUCUUG